Molecule: ribosomal RNA, 565 nt
Filed under: Saccharomyces cerevisiae (brewer's yeast)
Lineage: Eukaryota; Fungi; Ascomycota; Saccharomycetes; Saccharomycetales; Saccharomycetaceae
Description: partial large subunit ribosomal RNA
Rfam family: Eukaryotic large subunit ribosomal RNA
Source: RNAcentral
GCCUUAGUACGGCGAGUGAAGCGGCAAAAGCUCAAAUUUGAAAUCUGGUACCUUCGGUGCCCGAGUUGUAAUUUGGAGAGGGCAACUUUGGGGCCGUUCCUUGUCUAUGUUCCUUGGAACAGGACGUCAUAGAGGGUGAGAAUCCCGUGUGGCGAGGAGUGCGGUUCUUUGUAAAGUGCCUUCGAAGAGUCGAGUUGUUUGGGAAUGCAGCUCUAAGUGGGUGGUAAAUUCCAUCUAAAGCUGAUUAUUGGCGAGAGACCGAUAGCGAACAAGUACAGUGAUGGAAAGAUGAAAAGAACUUUGAAAAGAGAGUGAAAAAGUACGUGAAAUUGUUGAAAGGGAAGGGCAUUUGAUCAGACAUGGUGUUUUGUGCCCUCUGCUCCUUGUGGGUAGGGGAAUCUCGCAUUUCACUGGGCCAGCAUCAUUUUUGGUGGCAGGAUAAAUCCAUAGGAAUGUAGCUUGCCUCGGUAAGUAUUAUAGCCUGUGGGAAUACUGCCAGCUGGGACUGAGGACUGCGACGUAAGUCAAGGAUGCUGGCAUAAUGGUUAUAUGCCGCCCGUCUUGA